Acanthosepion pharaonis is the source of this 110-nucleotide non-coding RNA. NCBI's taxonomy places the organism in Eukaryota, Metazoa, Mollusca, Cephalopoda, Sepiida, Sepiidae. The record is from the annotation of a GenBank genome assembly.
UACAGCCAUAUCUCAUUGAAGCACCAGUUCUUGUAUGAUCACCAAAGUUAAGCAACAUUGAGCGUGGUCAGUACAUAGCUGGUGACCAUGUGGGAAUAUCAGGUACAGUA